GAGGGGUGGAAUAUACAAAGGCCCCGUUAAUGCUGCACGUUAUUCAUUCACAAUCUAGAGAAUCAAGGAAGAAGUCCAUUAAACAAAGAUGCACGCACAGACACACAAUCUUAAUAAAUUCACCUUCAUUUUAUUUUGACACCUUUUAUUUGGCAGCGAAUAAAACAAUUUCAUAAAAACGGUCAGUGAACCUGGCCCCAGGAAAGCGGUCAUGUGACUAAUCACACGAUGAUUGUUACAAUAACAUGAAAAUGCGACACGCGUUUAAGAUUAUAAAAAUAAAACGGGAAGCUUUCUGUGCAUCGUGUCUUCCGGUCUGAGCCAAGUGUGACGUCACCGAGGAGGAAACCACUUCAUGGUCUGCUCUUCAAUCAAACGUCUUCAGAGGUUUAUUUACGCUAAAUAAACGUCUUCUGUCCGGACACGUGAUUCAUGAUGAACUUUAACGGAGCAGCGGCGCCCCCGCGAGGCAGAACCACCGCACUACGUGACGUCACGGGUUCAUCACAGGGCGAGCCAGACGAUGUGAUGACCUUUGACCUGUUCCUCUUCAUGUCAGAACCCACACUGGAGCGGCUGGUUCCUCCCUCACCGAGGUCACGACUCUUUGCUCUCUGAUGACAUCAGGACCACAGAGAGCCUUCACAUCUUCACACUAAACAGGUGGAGAACAUCUGGGGAUGAAGUUUAAUUAAACUGAUGAAUGCAACUAAAUAAAAGUUCAAAUGUUUUUAUCCAUUUAAUCCGGUUUCCAAAGUUACAUUUUCCCCCAAAUAGAAACACUGUGGUUUGAUGUCGUGUCGUUAGAGGCUGAAGAUUCUUUUAUUUAAUGUUGUUGUUUAAAACAAAACUAGUGAAAGAAAAUGAGUCAAAACUUCUGAAAGGUUUUCAACCUCCAAUAGACAUUCCUACAAAAUCAU
Long non-coding RNA from Pungitius pungitius (ninespine stickleback), 920 nucleotides. RefSeq lists it as uncharacterized. The record is from RefSeq and is a predicted model, not a curated record. Lineage: Eukaryota; Metazoa; Chordata; Actinopteri; Perciformes; Gasterosteidae. The transcript has 3 exons.